This 1104-nucleotide long non-coding RNA is filed under the name Gadus morhua (Atlantic cod). RNAcentral describes it as "lncRNA (ENSGMOG00000029033.1)". The record is from RNAcentral. Lineage: Eukaryota; Metazoa; Chordata; Actinopteri; Gadiformes; Gadidae.
GUCAAGAAAUGUGGGAGGAGUAGCGAAAAAACAGUUUUGCGGUUUUCGCGGAAAAAAAUUAUUGACGCAAAUGGGCGUGGCCUAGGCCAAAAGAUGCAGCAGACUCCAGUGCAUAUGUGGGUACAAGUUUUUGACUGUGGGAGGUUCGGUGUGGGAGUUAUAGCCCCAAACGCGUCUUUCCUUGGUAUAGCGCCACCUAGUGGCCGGCGUGUCUGGAUUUUGUCGUCUGCAUAGUCUUCACGUACCUGGAUCUAGUCAUGUAAUUGGCGUGUGUGCACCAUUUACGGUUUGGGCUGUAGUAGCACUUUCUUGGUAGGAAGUAUAAUAAUAAUAAUAAGACAAUAAGAAAAAUCCUUACAAAAACAAUAGGGAUCCAACCUGUUGGCUUGGACCCCUAACUAGAACUGCAAGCAGUUAUGCAGGGGUCCAAGAAGUGUGCAUUUCGCCGGCACAACGCGACAAGAAAUGUGCGUUUCGCCGGCACAACGCGAAGCAUGUGUUCAAAACGCUACCCUGAACCUGUGGAUACAAAGGAUUUGACUGUGGUAGGAGUAGCGAGAAGUCAGUGUAGCGUUUUCGCGGCGAAAUUUUGUAGAAGAUAUACAAUUUCCUCGUUUAUUGCGCCCCCUAAUGGCGAAAUUUUCCGAAAUUUUUAUCGUACGACAUUAAGGUUAGCACCAACAUGUGUGCACAAUUUGGACUCGAUCCGAUGUCUAAUUUUUGUUUUUUUUUUGGAUUUUUGAUUUUCGACUUAAAACGUAGCUAAUAAACAAAUAUUCAAAAUGCUACCGUUUCGUCAUCAACGGUCGGAUCAAAAAUGUGUUCCAUGGAUUCUUUUCGUGUGCCUCUGAAGAUGUCGUGUGCACGGUUUGGUGUAGAUUGGUCAAGAAAUGUGGGAGGAGUAGCGAAAAAACUGUUUAGCGGUUUUCGCGAUUUUGAAAAAAAAUUAUAGACGCAAAUGGGCGUGGCCUAUGCCAAAAGAUGCAGCAGACUCCAGUGAAUCUGUGUGUACAAGGUUUUGAAUGUGGGAGGUUCGGUGUGGGAGUGAGGGUUAGGGUCAACUAUGUGCCAUACACCAAUCUCUGCAAACACACUACGAGCUCA